GACGAACGCUGGCGGCGUGCUUAACACAUGCAAGUCGAACGGAAAGGCCCUGCCUUUGUGGGGUGCUCGAGUGGCGAACGGGUGAGUAACACGUGAGUAACCUGCCCUUGACUUUGGGAUAACUUCAGGAAACUGGGGCUAAUACCGGAUAGGAGCUCCUGCUGCAUGGUGGGGGUUGGAAAGUUUCGGCGGUUGGGGAUGGACUCGCGGCUUAUCAGCUUGUUGGUGGGGUAGUGGCUUACCAAGGCUUUGACGGGUAGCCGGCCUGAGAGGGUGACCGGCCACAAUGGGACUGAGAUACGGCGCAGACGCCUACGGGAGGCAGCAGGGGGGAAUAUGGCACAGUGGGCGGAAGCCUGAUGCAGCAACGCCGCGUGCGGGAUGACGGCCUUCGGGUUGUAAACCGCUUUCGCCGGUGACGAAGCGUGAGUGACGGUAAUGGGUAAGGAAGCACCGGCUAACUACGUG
Molecule: ribosomal RNA, 468 nt
Filed under: uncultured bacterium
Lineage: Bacteria
Description: partial 16S ribosomal RNA
Rfam family: Bacterial small subunit ribosomal RNA
Source: RNAcentral